Molecule: ribosomal RNA, 174 nt
Filed under: Triticum aestivum (bread wheat)
Lineage: Eukaryota; Viridiplantae; Streptophyta; Magnoliopsida; Poales; Poaceae
Description: partial small subunit ribosomal RNA
Source: RNAcentral
AUGGCCUCGCUCCUUAUGUUGGUCUUCUGGGAGCUAUGGAAGGAGAGGAACGCUAGGGUUUUUAGAAAUACUUCUACGCCUUCGAUGAUUAUCAUGGACAAGAUCCUUGAUGAGGCAAGCCUAUGGGUUUCUAUGGGGGCCAAGGGUUUAGAUGUGAUUCUGCCUCGUGAGUAG